Protobothrops mucrosquamatus (brown spotted pit viper) is the source of this 337-nucleotide long non-coding RNA. RefSeq lists it as uncharacterized. Lineage: Eukaryota; Metazoa; Chordata; Lepidosauria; Squamata; Viperidae. The transcript has 3 exons. The record is from RefSeq and is a predicted model, not a curated record.
CAGCAGAUGCAGUCCAAACAGAUGUUGCCGGGUCUCGGCCCUCCCAGCCGCCAAGUUCUACAAGAGAAGCUUCUGCAGACAUUUGGGGAGAUUUCACCAAAGCUUCUGGGUCCGGCUCUCAGCCUCCGCAGAACUCGGACUGGGUCCAGUUCUGAAGCCGACGGGGAAGCCCAGAGGCCGAGGAGGGGCCCCUUGGUAGCCCAGAAACCGGGAGAUGGGCCGUGCCCCGCUGGCUCGCCAACAGAUCCUCUGCCUGGAUGGGUUUGACUUUGGUUUCGGACCUUGUAGCAAGGCACAGGAGGGCUCCUUGCGAAUCGUCUCUCGCUCCUUCGCUCUC